GACGAACGCUGGCGGCGUGCUUAACACAUGCAAGUCGAACGAAAAUACCAAGCUUGCUUGGUUGAUUAGUGGCGAACGGGUGAGUAACACGUGAGUAACCUGCCCCUUACUUUCCUGGAUAACUGCUCGAAAGGGUAGCUAAUACGGGAUAUUCUGACUAGCCAGCAUGGGUUGGUUUGGAAAGGUUGUUUUUCUGGUAAGGGAUGGGCUCGCGGCCUAUCAGCUUGUUGGUGGGGUGAUGGCCUACCAAGGCUUUGACGGGUAGCCGGCCUGAGAGGGUGGACGGUCACACUGGGACUGAGAUACGGCCCAGACUCCUACGGGAGGCAGCAGUGGGGAAUAUUGCACAAUGGGCGCAAGCCUGAUGCAGCGACGCCGCGUGAGGGAUGAAGGCCUUCGGGUUGUAAACCUCUUUCGUCAGGGAACAAGGCACUACGUUUUGGUGGUGUUGAGGGUACCUGGAUAAGAAGCGCCGGCUAACUACGUGCCAGCAGCCGCGGUAAUACGUAUGGCGCAUGCGUUGUCCGGAAUUAUUGGGCGUAAAGAGCUCGUAGGCGGCUGGUCGCGUCUGUCGUGAAAACUUCCGGCUCAACCGGGGGCUUGCGGUGGGUACGGGCCGGCUAGAGUGCGGUAGGGGUAACUGGAACUCCUGGUGUAGCGGUGGAAUGCGCAGAUAUCAGGAAGAACACCGAUCGCGAAGGCAGGUUACUGGGGCCGUUACUGACGCUUAGGAGCGAAAGCGUGGGGAGCGAACAGG
Molecule: ribosomal RNA, 757 nt
Filed under: uncultured Actinomyces sp.
Lineage: Bacteria; Bacillati; Actinomycetota; Actinomycetes; Actinomycetales; Actinomycetaceae
Description: bacterial SSU rRNA
Rfam family: Bacterial small subunit ribosomal RNA
Source: RNAcentral